GAUGUGCGUAAGGCUGCGUUUAGCAUCGGCGAUCUUAAGGCCCCAGGUCCCGAUGGGCUUCAUGCCAUUUUUUUCAAAAAAUAUUGGCAUAUUCUGGGAGAUGAUAUUAUCCAACAAGUCUUGCUAGCUAUUAAUUCCAGGAAGAUCCCACCUGAAUGGAAUGAGACAACGAUCGUUAUGAUCCCGAAGAUGGACACACCAGAGUUGGUAACUCAAUUUCGUCCAAUUAGUCUAUGCAAUGUCCUAUAUAAAAUUGUGUCCAAAAUGCUAGCUUUCCGUUUGAAAAGUAUUCUACCUGAUAUUAUUUCGCCCACCCAAAGUGCCUUUGUACCUGGGAGGAUGAUCACGGAUAAUAUUCUAAUUGCAUAUGAAUGUAUACACAAGAUCAAGAAUAAAAGAGCUGGUCGAACAGGGUUAUGUGCAGUCAAGUUAGAUAUGCAUAAAGCAUAUGACAGAGUGGAAUGGUCUUUCCUUCGUCAUAUGAUGUCAGCUUUGGGUUUCCACGGCCAAUUUAUUAAGAUGAUGAUGUCAUGUGUAAGCUCGGUCAGCUACAGAGUGAGAUUUAAUUCUCAUGAAACAGGGUCUUUCACACCUACGAGGGGCAUUCGACAGGGUGAUCCCCUUUCCCCAUAUAUGUUCCUACUGUGUGCAGAAGGUCUGUCCAGUUUAUUGGAGUUUGAAGAAGAAGCUGGUGGCAUAGAGGGAAUAAGAGUGUGCAGAAAUGCACCAUCAGUAUCACAUCUUUUAUUUGCUGAUGACUCUCUCAUUCUCAUGAACGCAGAUGUCCUAAAUGCAGCUUCCUUACAACAUGUUCUGGAUACCUACUGUCAGAGUUCGGGACAAUUGGUGAGCCUAUCAAAAUCUAGUGUGUACUUCAGUCCUAACACCCCUCUGGUAACAAAAACUGAGGUUUGUCAACUAUUACAUAUUGAUACUGAAGCUUUGUCUGACAAAUAUCUUGGGCUGCCUGCAAUGGUAGGAGCGGAUAGGAGUGACUGCUUCCGAUAUUUCUGUGAAAGAAUAAAAGAAAGAUUGAAAGGAUGGAUGGAGAAGCAACUAUCUACAGGUGGUAAGGAAAUACUUAUUAAAUCU
Molecule: ribosomal RNA, 1092 nt
Filed under: Triticum aestivum (bread wheat)
Lineage: Eukaryota; Viridiplantae; Streptophyta; Magnoliopsida; Poales; Poaceae
Description: partial small subunit ribosomal RNA
Source: RNAcentral